Molecule: non-coding RNA, 603 nt
Filed under: Mus musculus (house mouse)
Lineage: Eukaryota; Metazoa; Chordata; Mammalia; Rodentia; Muridae
Source: RNAcentral
GGCUUGAGGACCGUAUUCAUGGAAGAGGAUUGAACAGUAAAGAGCCCAGGAUUUGAUAAAAAUGAGAAUAUAUCGCCUCAAGCAGAAGCAGAUGAAUAUAUGGGAGAUGAAGUAGACAGUAUGUUGGAUAAAUCUGGAGUAAAGAACCCAGCAAUUGGUAAAGAUGAGAAUAUAUCGCCUCAAGUAAAAGGAGAUGAAGACAUGGGAGAUGAAAUUGACAGUAUGUUGGCUACAUCUGGAGGUCUUUUCUCCUGAGAACACGGGACUCCAGCAUCUUCGGAUUCUGCUCUUGGAGGUGUGAGUCCCUGCCUCUCUGCACAGGGGAACUUAUGUCUCUCCACAUGUCCGCAAAUGUCUACCCAAGAUUAUACAUCUUCCAAAGGCUUUCAAAUACUUCUUUACAUAAACAAGGGGUUUGCCCCACAUCCUCUAUAUUGCAGAAAACAAGACUAGGCUCUACCUCUGUAGAUCAAGCACGACUGAAAUCCGUGCUCUCAAAAGAUGCUGGGGAGAAAGAGUGCCAUUCUUCACAAAUGCUGCUGCAUCAUUGGACUGAAAGUGAAUGGCCCAUGUGUUGCCACUGAUGUGAGCCAUUUGCAAGCC